UAUAUACACUAGCUUCUCGUAAAAUAUUAGCUGUAAAUAUAUAACAAAUCAUCUGUCUUACAUUUUCCUACAGUUGGCGAAAGUGGGACAGGAGUAAAAUGUUUCAGUUUGAAAUGGCGAGCCUCAAGAAUAAUACAAUAUCUUUGUUGUUGUCUUUGUAUUGUAUUGUUAGUACACUGUACUUAUUAUAUGCCUGAAAAUAGCUUCUGUAUUAAGAUCAAGCGUUCAUGGACGUGAUCAGUAACAAAUCAACAACAGGUUUUUGUUAUAAUGCAGACAACGCUGCAAAAGAAGUUACAAGUAUAUGAGGAUCAGAAAUCUGGUAAAAAUCACGUUCUUCACUCUCUAAUUCUGAUUCCGUGUAAUCCUUUGGAGACACUUGUUUAGUAACUCAAAGUCAGAGCAGUUUCUGAAAAUUUACUUUACAAUGCCCAUGACAACAUUUAGUAGGAGUAAUUAAGCGCUUAUACAUGCUUUGGUCGUUGGUACCUAUUGUAUUCGAACCAAGUGUCUGGUCCAUUGAAACAUAAUCCAUAUAAUGGUUCAAGGUUUGUAGGCAGAGCGCAUUAUACGCUUUGGAGUAUACUAUUCUAGUGUCAUAUGCACCAAAGCGAAUAUUAUUAGGUAUCAUGUUCUCUCGAAAUCACGUUUUCAGUAAUAUGUCAUUCAUAAACAAUGAAAGAAAGAGGAGUGAUGCGAGGAAAAAGAAAUACUUUCUCGAGCAAGACAGGCAAAGCAUUCAUGAUCUAUUGUUAAAAAUUCAAACAUCAUUUCCCACAAACAUUCUCUUUCGCUAUAUAAGGUACACUCUCAAGUUAACUACUAGCGAUAAUGACAUACAAUUUCUGGUAUUUGUACUGCCUGUGAAUUGACGCAUUUUAUCACUGUUUUAAUUUUUCUAGUUAUAAUAAAGGACAUUAAAAAAGGAUUAUGUGAAGAAUAAUUACCAUUGCGUUGAAUUUCUUUUGAGAACAUGCCUCAAACAAACUCAUCAUCUCUCUAUACAACAUUAUCAUUAGAGGCCAUGCAGCACAAUAUAAAAUGUCCAUUGAUUUGACAUGGCUCGUAUAGCAGGGUUUGGGUCUCCUGAAAGAGUGCAGUAUAAUAAUGUAUUGGUUGUGCUUAAGCAUGGUGUCUUCCAUGUCACAUUAAAGUAUGCAAUGCGAGAAAAAAUGAGCCUUUAAAUAUGUGGACACGCGUUAAGUUUAUGUAGUGCUAAUGUCUUGCCCCUACAUAUAAAUGGGCAGUAGUAUAUUCUCAUAUACAUCACGAAAGGCUAGUUUGCAAAUCUUUGGAAAAACCAACCUUGAAUAAUUUGAAACGUCAUGGUUGAAGAAUUUCUUACUGAAGUUUAAUCAGGAAUCAGAUAGUUCUUCUUUAGACUUUCAAAAACAUUUCAGUUUACCCAAUUUGAAAUGGAUGACUGUGUAUUACUCAGAGCUGCAUAUUGCCUAGAGAGCCUUCAAGAAUAUUUCCACUCUAAAGAAAAUGCGUCUGCUCGUUAUUUCCUUAAUGACUCGCAGUUCAUUUUCUUUCCAAUUUAAUCUUUUACAUUUAAUGUUGUAGCAUUCACAUAGCCAUUCUGGUACAAACUGAACGGUUUGGUCGUAUUGGUAUGAUUAAGUUUAGUGACUUCUAUUUUAUUGGUGAUGGUACCCUAAAACAAUACUGAGGAGUGUCAUCUAAUCAUAUUGAUUAUUAUGUAUAUCUUGAUAAAUAGAGCUUAAUUUUUCAUUAGCGACAUGUUCCUUGUAAAUGGUUGCACCACGUAAGAGCAGUGAAAAAGAGGUUCGUUCCCAUCCAUUCUGUCAUUGCUACUGCUGAUAUUACAUUGAGUUGCGGUUAAUAUUCGUUCUGGGAGAUAUGCUAGGAUCUACGAAGAUCCCAGAUAAAUAUUUUUAUUAGAAGGCAACAUAUUAAUUAAAUAAAAGAAGACUCAUGAAUUUUAAGACUCACACUAUCGAACUAAUUAUAUACAUGUACUAAUUCUCAUACAUAAAAAGAGGAAAAAAUAUGUAACUGAAGGAGAAGAAAAUAGAUUUCAAAGAAAUCAUCUCAGGUCACAAGUUGUAUUACAGAACAUCAAAGCCUGAAUAUCGUUCAAAGGUUAUAUGUCUGUACACUGUGAACAGGGCUUUUUAUAGAUGGCAAGAGUGUUUCCUGAAGAUAUAUUUGCUCAUAUCAAUUCAUGAAGUGCAGGUAGUCGGUAACACGGACCCCUUCGGCAACGUACAGGAUCUUCUGGAACUGCAAAUCAUGUGGUAAAGAAUUUCAUGAGGUAUGAACCGAUAGUAACUCCUGUAAUAAUUUUUACAUAUUGGUAGCAUAUUUUUGGAGAACUGGUUGCUUUUGCAGAACACAGUAAAUAAAACGUUAAUGGAGCUUUUUCAUUGCUGGUUUAAUCAGAAUUGAUUUUUAUGACACAUAAGAACACUUCCAUCAAUUAACACAGUUAAUGUCAACUAUAAAAGUAAAAGCUGAAAUCCUUUAACGUUUCCAGGUGGGAUAAUCUUGUAUCACUAGAAAACA
Long non-coding RNA from Schistocerca cancellata (South American locust), 2529 nucleotides. RefSeq lists it as uncharacterized. NCBI's taxonomy places the organism in Eukaryota, Metazoa, Arthropoda, Insecta, Orthoptera, Acrididae. The transcript is spliced from 2 exons. The record is from RefSeq and is a predicted model, not a curated record.